AUACAUGCAAGUCGAGCGGAAGAUGGGAGCUUGCUCCCUGAUGUUAGCGGCGGACGGGUGAGUAACACGUGGGUAACCUGCCUGUAAAUGGGUAAUCCGGAAACCGGGGCUUACCGGAUGGUUGUUUGAACCAUGGUUCAACAUAAAAGGUGGCUUCGCUACCACUUACAGAUGGACCCGCGGCGCAUUAGCUAGUUGGUGAGGUAACGGCUCACCAAGGCAACGAUGCGUACCGACCUGAGAGGGUGAUCGGCCACACUGGGACUGAGACACGGCCCAGACUCCUACGGGAGGCAGCAGUAGGGAAUCUUCCGCAAUGGACGAAAGUCUGACGGAGCAACGCCGCGUGAGUGAUGAAGGUUUUCGGAUCGUAAAGCUCUGUUGUUAGGGAAGAACAAGUACCGUUCGAAUAGGGCGGUACCUUGACGGUACCUAACCAGAAAGCCACGGCUAACUACGUGCCAGCAGCCGCGGUAAUACGUAGGUGGCAAGCGUUGUCCGGAAUUAUUGGGCGUAAAGGGCUCGCAGGCGGUUUCUUAAGUCUGAUGUGAAAGCCCCCGGCUCAACCGGGGAGGGUCAUUGGAAACUGGGGAACUUGA
This 599-nucleotide ribosomal RNA is filed under the name Bacillus subtilis. Its description in RNAcentral is "bacterial SSU rRNA". It matches the Rfam family "Bacterial small subunit ribosomal RNA", at positions 51 to 645 of the family's 1533-position model. The record is from RNAcentral. Lineage: Bacteria; Bacillati; Bacillota; Bacilli; Caryophanales; Bacillaceae.